UAACGCGUGGGUAACCUGGCCCAUACAGGGGGAUAACACUUAGAAAUAGGUGCUAAUACCGCAUAACAACAGAAAGCGCAUGCUUUUUGUUUGAAAACCAAGGUGGUAUGGGAUGGACCCGCGUCUGAUUAGCUGGUUGGCGGGGUAAAGGCCCACCAAGGCGACGAUCAGUAGCCGGCCUGAGAGGGUGGACGGCCACAUUGGGACUGAGACACGGCCCAAACUCCUACGGGAGGCAGCAGUGGGGAAUAUUGCACAAUGGGGGAAACCCUGAUGCAGCGACGCCGCGUGAGUGAAGAAGUAAUUCGUUAUGUAAAGCUCUAUCAGCAGGGAAGAAAAUGACGGUACCUGAGUAAGAAGCCCCGGCUAACUACGUGCCAGCAGCCGCGGUAAUACGUAGGGGGCAAGCGUUAUCCGGAUUUACUGGGUGUAAAGGGAGCGUAGACGGCAGUGCAAGUCUGGAGUGAAAGGCGGGGGCUCAACCCCCGGACUGCUCUGGAAACUGUACGGCUGGAGUGCAGGAGAGGUAAGUGGAAUUCCUAGUGUAGCGGUGAAAUGCGUAGAUAUUAGGAGGAACACCAGUGGCGAAGGCGGCUUACUGGACUGUAACUGACGUUGAGGCUCGAAAGCGUGGGGAGCAAACAGGAUUAGAUACCCUGGUAGUCCACGCCGUAAACGAUGAUCACUAGGUGU
This 693-nucleotide ribosomal RNA is filed under the name uncultured bacterium. Its description in RNAcentral is "bacterial SSU rRNA". It matches the Rfam family "Bacterial small subunit ribosomal RNA", at positions 111 to 823 of the family's 1533-position model. The record is from RNAcentral.